GAUGAAGAACGCAGCGAAAUGCGAUAAGUAGUGUGAAUUGCAGAAUUCAGUGAAUCAUCGAAUCUUUGAACGCACAUUGCGCCCCUUGGUAUUCCAUGGGGCAUGCCUGUUCGAGCGUCAUUUGUACCUUCAAGCUCUGCUUGGUGUUGGGUGUUUGUCUCGCCUUGCGCGUAGACUCGCCUUAAAACAAUUGGCAGCCGGCGUAUUGAUUUCGGAGCGCAGUACAUCUCGCGCUUUGCACUCAUAACGACGACGUCCACAAGUACUUUUUACACUCUUGACCUCGGAUCAGGUAGGGAUACCCGCUGAACUUAAGCAUAUCAAUAAGCGGAGGA
Molecule: unclassified non-coding RNA, 335 nt
Filed under: soil metagenome
Description: partial contains 5.8S ribosomal RNA, internal transcribed spacer 2, and large subunit ribosomal RNA
Rfam family: 5.8S ribosomal RNA (bases 1-120)
Source: RNAcentral